GGGAGGGGCCCGCGGUCGAUUAGCUAGCUGGUGGGGUAACGGCCUACCAGGGCUUCGAUCGAUAGCUGGUCUGAGAGGAUGAUCAGCCAGACUGGGACUGCGAACGGCCCAGACUCCUACGGGAGGCAGCAGUUAGGAAUUUUGGGCAAUGGGCGAAAGCCUGACCCAGCAACGCCGCGUGGGUGAUGAAGGCCCUCGGGUCGUAAAGCCCUUUUCCCAGGGACGAUAGUGACGGUACCUGGGGAAUCAGCCCCGGCUAACUACGUGCCAGCAGCCGCGGUAAUACGAAGGUGGCAAGCGUUGUUCGGAUUUACUGGGCGUACAGGGAGCGUAGGCGGUCCGGUAAGUCGGCUGUGAAAGUCCAGGGCUCAACCCUGGGAUGCCGGUCGAUACUGCCGGACUAGAGUUCGGAAGAGGCGAGUGGAAUUCCCGGUGUAGCGGUGAAAUGCGCAGAUAUCGGGAGGAACACCUAUGGCGAAGGCAGCUCGCUGGGACGUUACUGACGCUGAGACGCGAAAGCGUGGGGAGCAAACAGGAUUAGAUACCCUGGUAGUCCACGCCGUAAACGAUGGGCACUAGGUGUGGGAGGUGUCGACUCCUCCCGUGCCGGAGCUAACGCAUUAAGUGCCCCGCCUGGGGAGUACGGCCGCAAGGCUAAA
This 659-nucleotide ribosomal RNA is filed under the name uncultured bacterium. RNAcentral's name for it is "bacterial SSU rRNA". It matches the Rfam family "Bacterial small subunit ribosomal RNA", at positions 222 to 898 of the family's 1533-position model. The record is from RNAcentral.